AUUUACAACAAGCCACCUUGAGAGUCCCAAUCUCACCUGAUCUCUGAAAACUAAGGGGUUGGACCUGAGUAGUACUUGGAUGGGAGACCUGUGGGAAUACCAGACAUUGUGUGCU
RNAcentral lists this ribosomal RNA (115 nucleotides) under Periophthalmus magnuspinnatus. Lineage: Eukaryota; Metazoa; Chordata; Actinopteri; Gobiiformes; Gobiidae. The record is from RNAcentral.